GGCCAGUUAGCUCAGUCGGUUAGAGCGUGGUGCUGAUAACACCAAGGUUGCUGGUUCGAUCCCUGUUCGGACCC
This 74-nucleotide transfer RNA is filed under the name Apaloderma vittatum (bar-tailed trogon). It matches the Rfam family "tRNA". Rfam says of the family: Transfer RNA (tRNA) molecules are approximately 80 nucleotides in length. The record is from Rfam by way of RNAcentral. Lineage: Eukaryota; Metazoa; Chordata; Aves; Trogoniformes; Trogonidae.